RNAcentral lists this ribosomal RNA (1030 nucleotides) under Xylaria grammica. Its description in RNAcentral is "partial small subunit ribosomal RNA". It matches the Rfam family "Eukaryotic small subunit ribosomal RNA", at positions 71 to 1111 of the family's 1831-position model. Lineage: Eukaryota; Fungi; Ascomycota; Sordariomycetes; Xylariales; Xylariaceae. The record is from RNAcentral. RNAcentral also lists the same sequence under 1 other name.
CAAUUAUACCGCGAAACUGCGAAUGGCUCAUUAAAUCAGUUAUCGUUUAUUUGAUAGUACCUUACUACUUGGACAACCGUGGUAAUUCUAGAGCUAAUACAUGCUAAAAAUCCCGACUCACGAAGGGAUGUAUUUAUUAGAUUAAAAACCAAUGCCCCUCGGGGCUUUCUGGUGAUUCAUAAUAACUUCUCGAAUCGCAUGGCCUUGCGCCGGCGAUGGUUCAUUCAAAUUUCUGCCCUAUCAACUUUCGAUGGCAGGGUCUUGGCCUGCCAUGGUUACAACGGGUAACGGAGGGUUAGGGCUCGACCCCGGAGAAGGAGCCUGAGAAACGGCUACUACAUCCAAGGAAGGCAGCAGGCGCGCAAAUUACCCAAUCCCGACACGGGGAGGUAGUGACAAUAAAUACUGAUACAGGGCUCUUUUGGGUCUUGUAAUUGGAAUGAGUACAAUUUAAAUCCCUUAACGAGGAACAAUUGGAGGGCAAGUCUGGUGCCAGCAGCCGCGGUAAUUCCAGCUCCAAUAGCGUAUAUUAAAGUUGUUGCAGUUAAAAAGCUCGUAGUUGAACCUUGGGCCUGGCUGGCCGGUCCGCCUCACCGCGUGCACUGGUUCGGCCGGGCCUUUCCCUCUGGGGAGCCCCAUGCCCUUCACUGGGUGUGGCGGGGAACCAGGACUUUUACUGUGAAAAAAUUAGAGUGUUCAAAGCAGGCCUAUGCUCGAAUACAUCAGCAUGGAAUAAUAGAAUAGGACGUGUGGUUCUAUUUUGUUGGUUUCUAGGACCGCCGUAAUGAUUAAUAGGGACAGUCGGGGGCAUCAGUAUUCAAUUGUCAGAGGUGAAAUUCUUGGAUUUAUUGAAGACUAACUACUGCGAAAGCAUUUGCCAAGGAUGUUUUCAUUAAUCAGGAACGAAAGUUAGGGGAUCGAAGACGAUCAGAUACCGUCGUAGUCUUAACCAUAAACUAUGCCGACUAGGGAUCGGACGAUGUUAUUUUUUGACUCGUUCGGCACCUUACGAGAAAUCAAAGUCUUUGGG